UGCAAGUCGAGCGGCAGCGGGAAAGUAGCUUGCUACUUUUGCCGGCGAGCGGCGGACGGGUGAGUAAUGCCUGGGAAAUUGCCCAGUCGAGGGGGAUAACAGUUGGAAACGACUGCUAAUACCGCAUACGCCCUACGGGGGAAAGCAGGGGACCUUCGGGCCUUGCGCGAUUGGAUAUGCCCAGGUGGGAUUAGCUAGUUGGUGAGGUAAUGGCUCACCAAGGCGACGAUCCCUAGCUGGUCUGAGAGGAUGAUCAGCCACACUGGAACUGAGACACGGUCCAGACUCCUACGGGAGGCAGCAGUGGGGAAUAUUGCACAAUGGGGGAAACCCUGAUGCAGCCAUGCCGCGUGUGUGAAGAAGGCCUUCGGGUUGUAAAGCACUUUCAGCGAGGAGGAAAGGUCAGUAGCUAAUAUCUGCUGACUGUGACGUUACUCGCAGAAGAAGCACCGGCUAACUCCGUGCCAGCAGCCGGGUAAAUAAAGCGGGC
This 490-nucleotide ribosomal RNA is filed under the name Aeromonas dhakensis. RNAcentral's name for it is "bacterial SSU rRNA". It matches the Rfam family "Bacterial small subunit ribosomal RNA", at positions 56 to 533 of the family's 1533-position model. Lineage: Bacteria; Pseudomonadati; Pseudomonadota; Gammaproteobacteria; Aeromonadales; Aeromonadaceae. The record is from RNAcentral.